GCGGGUAUCGACCCCUGCUGUGCCGUAGCUAACGCGUUAAGUAUUCCGCCUGGGGAGUACGGCCGCAAGGCUAAAACUCAAAGAAAUUGACGGGGGCCCGCACAAGCGGUGGAGCAUGUGGUUUAAUUCGAUGCAACGCGCAGAACCUCACCUGGGCUUGAAAUCCUCUGAUCGCCAUAGAGAUAUGGUUUUCCACUUCGGUGGACAGAGUGACAGGUGCUGCAUGGCUGUCGUCAGCUCGUGUCGUGAGAUGUCAGGUUAAGUCCUAUAACGAGCGCAACCCUUGUUGCUAGUUGCCAGCAUUAAGUUGGGCACUCUAGUGAGACUGCCGGUGUCAAACCGGAGGAAGGUGGGGAUGACGUCAAGUCCUCAUGGCCCUUAUGCCCAGGGCUACACACGUGCUACAAUGAUCGGUACAAAGAGCAGCUAACUCGCGAGAGCAUGCAAAUCUCAAAAAACCGACCUCAGUACGGAUUGGAGUCUGCAACUCGACUCCAUGAAGGUGGAAUCGCUAGUAAUCGUAGAUCAGCAUGCUACGGUGAAUACGUUCCCGGGCCUUGUACACACCGCCCGUCACACCAUGGGAGUUGACUACUCCAGAAGUCGUUGAGCUAACCCGCAAGGGAGGCAGGCGCCCAAGGAGUGGUUGGUAACUGGGGUGAAGUCGUAAACAAGGUAGCCG
Molecule: ribosomal RNA, 682 nt
Filed under: uncultured bacterium
Lineage: Bacteria
Description: bacterial SSU rRNA
Rfam family: Bacterial small subunit ribosomal RNA
Source: RNAcentral